GACGAACGCUGGCGGCGUGCCUAAUACAUGCAAGUAGAACGCUUAAGAGAGGAGCUUGCUCUUCUUGGAUGAGUUGCGAACGGGUGAGUAACGCGUAGGUAACCUGCCUUGUAGCGGGGGAUAACUAUUGGAAACGAUAGCUAAUACCGCAUAACAAUGAUGACACAUGUCAUUUAUUUGAAAGGGGCAAUUGCUCCACUACAAGAUGGACCUGCGUUGUAUUAGCUAGUAGGUGAGGUAAUGGCUCACCUAGGCGACGAUACAUAGCCGACCUGAGAGGGGGAUUGGCCAAACUGGGACUGAGAAAAGGCCCAGACUCCUAAGGGAGGGAGCAGGAGGGAAUCUUCGGAAAUGGGGGCAACCCUGAACGAGCAACGCCGCGGGAGUGAAGAAGGGUUUCGGAUCGGAAAGCUAUGUUGUAAGUCAAGAACGGGUGUGAGAGUGGAAAGUUCACACUGUGACGGUAGCUUAACAGAAAGGGACGGCUAACUACGUG
Molecule: ribosomal RNA, 496 nt
Filed under: uncultured bacterium
Lineage: Bacteria
Description: partial 16S ribosomal RNA
Rfam family: Bacterial small subunit ribosomal RNA
Source: RNAcentral